GUUUUUUGUUAUUAUUUUGAACAUUUUAGAUAGAGAUAAACUGUAAACAGCAAUAAUGUACAGCAAAGUAAGACCUUAAAAUAAGUCAACAUGACCAAAAUGACCAAAAUGGUCAAUUGACCCCCUAAGGAGUUAUUGUCUUUUAUAGUCAAUUUUUAACAAUUUCAUAAAAUUUGUAAAUUUUUACUAACAUUUUCCACUGAAACUACUGGGCCAAGUUUAUUAUAGAUAGAGAUAAUUGUAAGCAGCAAGAAUGUUCAGUAAAGUAAGAUGUACAAACACAUCACCAUCACCAAAGCACAAUUUUGUCAUGAAUCCAUCUGCGUCCUUUGUUUAAUAUUCACAUAGACCAAGGUGAGCGACACAGUCUCUUAAGAGCCUCUAGUUUU
This 389-nucleotide long non-coding RNA is filed under the name Mytilus galloprovincialis (Mediterranean mussel). The record is from RNAcentral. Lineage: Eukaryota; Metazoa; Mollusca; Bivalvia; Mytilida; Mytilidae.